This 791-nucleotide ribosomal RNA is filed under the name Dugesia japonica. RNAcentral's name for it is "eukaryotic LSU rRNA". It matches the Rfam family "Eukaryotic large subunit ribosomal RNA", at positions 1235 to 1960 of the family's 3401-position model. The record is from RNAcentral. Lineage: Eukaryota; Metazoa; Platyhelminthes; Tricladida; Dugesiidae.
AGACAGCAGGACGGUGGACAUGGAAGUCGUCAUCCGCUAAGGAGUGUGUAACAACUCACCUGCCGAAUCAACCAGCCCUGAAAAUGGAUGGCGCUGUAGCGUUGGACCUAUACCGGAUCGAUAUCGUAAGUUUACAAAAACGAGUAAACGAUAUCGUGUAGGAGGGUGCCGUGGUUGCUAAGAAGCUACUGGCGUAAGUCAGAGUGGAGCGGCCACGGGUACAGAUCUUGGUAGUAGUAGCAAUUAUUCAAGUGAGAUCCUGAAGACUGAAGUGGAGAAGGGUUCCAUGUGAACAGUAUUUGAACAUGGGUUAGUCGGUCCUAAGCGAUCUGAUAAUUCAGUUAUCAGAAAGAGGUGAUAGACAUUAGCAAUAGUGUUUAUAAUUGAAUUUAGCCUCUUGAAGCGAAAGGGAAUCAGGUUAACAUUCCUGAACUUGAAUACGGAAAUUUGGUUGUUUCGGCAACACAAGGUGGCAACACAAGCGAUCUCAGAGACGUCAUCAAGUGUUUCGGGAAGAGUUCUCUUUUCUUUGUAUACAUAACCAUGUCCCUAGAAUCAGGUCAUCUGGAGAAAGGGAUGUGAAAUGUCAAAAGCACCGCGGUUCUUGUGGUGUCCGAAGCGCCCCUGAUGGCCCUUGAAAAUCUGAGGGAGCAGUUAUAAAUUUCGUUUCAAGCCGUACCGAUAUCCGCAGCAGGUCUCCAAGGUGAGCAGCCUAUAGCCUUAGAACAAUGUAGGUAAGGGAAGUCGGCAAACUAGAUCCGUACCUUCGGGAUAAGGAUUGGCUCUAAAGA